UACGUAGGGGGCUAGCGUUGUCCGGAAUCAUUGGGCGUAAAGAGCGUGUAGGCGGUCCGGUAAGUCCGCUGUGAAAGUCGGGGGCUCAACCCUCGAAUGCCGGUGGAUACUGUCGGGCUAGAGUGCGGAAGAGGCGAGUGGAAUUCCUGGUGUAGCGGUGAAAUGCGCAGAUAUCAGGAGGAACACCGGUGGCGAAGGCGGAUCUCUGGGCCUUACCUGACGCUCAGGCGCGAAAGCUAGGGGAGCGAACAGG
This 253-nucleotide ribosomal RNA is filed under the name uncultured bacterium. Its description in RNAcentral is "partial 16S ribosomal RNA". It matches the Rfam family "Bacterial small subunit ribosomal RNA", at positions 524 to 776 of the family's 1533-position model. The record is from RNAcentral.